GCCCGGGUGGUGGAACUGGUAGACGCGCACGCUUCAGGUGCGUGUGGGGGCAACUCCGUGGAAGUUCGAGUCUUCUUCCGGGCACCA
Molecule: transfer RNA, 87 nt
Filed under: Holosporales bacterium
Lineage: Bacteria; Pseudomonadati; Pseudomonadota; Alphaproteobacteria; Holosporales
Description: tRNA-Leu
Rfam family: tRNA
About the family: Transfer RNA (tRNA) molecules are approximately 80 nucleotides in length. Their secondary structure includes four short double-helical elements and three loops (D, anti-codon, and T loops).
Source: RNAcentral